RNAcentral lists this ribosomal RNA (253 nucleotides) under uncultured bacterium. RNAcentral's name for it is "partial 16S ribosomal RNA". It matches the Rfam family "Bacterial small subunit ribosomal RNA", at positions 524 to 776 of the family's 1533-position model. The record is from RNAcentral.
GACAGAGGAUGCAAGCGUUAUCCAGAAUGAUUAGGCGUAAAGCGUCUGUAGGUGGCUUUUUAAGUCCGCCGUUAAAUCCUAGGGCUCAACCCUGGACAGGCGGUGGAAACUACCAAGCUGGAGUACGGUAGGGGUAGAGGGAAUUUCCGGUGGAGCGGUGAAAUGCGUAGAGAUCGGAAAGAACACCAACGGCGAAAGCACUCUGCUGGGCCGACACUGACACUGAGAGACGAAAGCUAGGGGAGCGAAUGGG